CAUGGAGGAAAAAGGAAAGACGGCUUCUGCUGUCACUUACAGAUGGGCCCGCGGCGCAUUAGCUAGUUGGUGGGGUAACGGCUCACCAAGGCAACGAUGCGUAGCCGACCUGAGAGGGUGAUCGGCCACAUUGGGACUGAGACACGGCCCAAACUCCUACGGGAGGCAGCAGUAGGGAAUCUUCCGCAAUGGACGAAAGUCUGACGGAGCAACGCCGCGUGAGUGAAGAAGGCCUUCGGGUCGUAAAACUCUGUUGCCGGGGAAGAACAAGUGCCGUUCGAACAGGGCGGCGCCUUGACGGUACCCGGCCAGAAAGCCACGGCUAACUACGUGCCAGCAGCCGCGGUAAUACGUAGGUGGCAAGCGUUGUCCGGAAUUAUUGGGCGUAAAGCGCGCGCAGGCGGCUUCUUAAGUCUGAUGUGAAAUCUUGCGGCUCAACCGCAAGCGGUCAUUGGAAACUGGGAGGCUUGAGUGCAGAAGAGGAGAGUGGAAUUCCACGUGUAGCGGUGAAAUGCGUAGAGAUGUGGAGGAACACCAGUGGCGAAGAGCGGCUCUCUGGUCUGUAACUGACGCUGAGGCGCGAAAGCGUGGGGAGCAAACAGGAUUAGAUACCCUGGUAGUCCACGCCGUAAACGAUGAGUGCUAAGUGUUAGAGGGUUUCCGCCCUUUAGUGCUGCAGCUAACGCAUUAAGCACUCCGCCUGGGGAGUACGGCCGCAAGGCUGAAACUCAAAGGAAUUGACGGGGGCCCGCACAAGCGGUGGAGCAUGUGGUUUAAUUCGAAGCAACGCGAAGAACCUUACCAGGUCUUGACAUCCUCUGACCUCCCUGGAGACAGGGCCUUCCCCUUCGGGGGACAGAGUGACAGGUGGUGCAUGGUUGUCGUCAGCUCGUGUCGUGAGAUGUUGGGUUAAGUCCCGCAACGAGCGCAACCCUUGACCUUAGUUGCCAGCAUUCAGUUGGGCACUCUAAGGUGACUGCCGGUGACAAACCGGAGGAAGGUGGGGAUGACGUCAAAUCAUCAUGCCCCUUAUGACCUGGGCUACACACGUGCUACAAUGGAUGGUACAAAGGGCUGCGAGACCGCGAGGUUAAGCCAAUCCCAGAAAACCAUUCCCAGUUCGGAUUGCAGGCUGCAACCCGCCUGCAUGAAGCCGGAAUCGCUAGUAAUCGCGGAUCAGCAUGCCGCGGUGAAUACGUU
Molecule: ribosomal RNA, 1200 nt
Filed under: Heyndrickxia coagulans
Lineage: Bacteria; Bacillati; Bacillota; Bacilli; Caryophanales; Bacillaceae
Description: bacterial SSU rRNA
Rfam family: Bacterial small subunit ribosomal RNA
Source: RNAcentral